GGCGGGGCUCUGUUGGUAGAAGGGGGCGUGGCCUCCUCUGAUAGGCCGCGCUCCUCGCAGGGCGUAGCCGGCGCGGCGCGGGGCUGGGCGGGUCUUAGGCCUGGUGGCCGGCGUGGACUGGCGUGAGCAGCGGCUCCUUUAAGCCCCCGGCCCCGCCCCCCGCCCCCCGCCCCGUCCUCGGCGUGGCCCGGGUCUGGCCGCGGAGGGGUCCGGUCCGCGGGACCGCGAUGGAGCUGCACAUUCUAGAGCACCGCGUGCGGGUGCUGAGCCUCGCCCGCUCCGGCCUCUGGCUCUACACCCACCCGCUCAUCAAGCUGCUCUUCCUGCCCCGCCGAAGCCGGUGCAAGUUCUUCAGCCUGACGGAGACUCCCGAGGAUUACACGCUCAUGGUGGACGAGGAGGGCUUCAAAGAGCUGCCCCCCUCGGAGUUCCUGCAAGUGGCUGAGGCCACCUGGCUGGUGCUGAGCGUGUCGUCCCACAGCGGAGCAGCGGUGCAAGCGGCGGGGGUCACGAAGAUUGCCCGCUCGGUCAUCGCGCCGCUGGCCGAGCACCACGUGUCUGUGCUGAUGCUGUCCACCUACCAGACGGACUUCAUCCUGGUGCGGGAGCAGGACCUGCCCGUGGUGAUCCACACGCUGGCCCAGGAGUUCGACAUUUACCGAGAGGUGGGCGGGGAGCCUGUGCCUGUUGCCAGGGACGAUUCCAGCAAUGGCUGUCCCCGUGCUCAGCAUGCAGGGCCCAACCCCACGGUGCAUCCUAUCCAAAGUCCACAGAACCGCUUUUGUGUCCUCACGCUGGACCCCGAAACACUGCCUGCCAUCGCUACCACCCUCAUCGACGUCCUCUUCUACUCCCACAGUGCCCCCAAAGAGGCAGCCCCUGGCGAGCCUGGACCCAGCUCCAUCACGUUCUUUGCCUUCUCCCUCAUCGAGGGCUACAUCUCCAUCGUCAUGGAUGCGGAGACACAGAAAAAGUUCCCCAGUGACCUGCUGCUGACCAGCUCCUCGGGGGAGCUGUGGAGGAUGGUGCGCAUCGGAGGACAGCCCCUGGGCUUCGAUGAAUGUGGGAUCGUGGCCCAGAUCGCGGGUCCCCUGGCUGCGGCCGACAUCUCUGCCUACUACAUCAGCACCUUCAACUUCGACCACGCCCUGGUGCCCGAGGACGGCAUCGACAGCGUCAUCAAAGUCCUCCAGCGGCGGCAGGAGGGCCUGGGCUCCUGAGGCCACGGGGGAGCCGCAGCCCCUGCGCUCGCCCCUCACCCCCAGGCUUCCAGAGACUUCUCUAAGCUAUUUCCCCAAGCUCUGGUUCGUUUUCCAGGAAACGGUGAACAUCUGCAGUGAGCGGAAGACCAGCUCUGAGCUUCCGAACAGUCACCAUAAAGGAAGACGUCAGCGUCUUUGACACCGAGCCUUCCCCAAAACGCGGUCAUGUGCUUCGGGAUAUUGAUUGUGCAACCAUCGCCGCGACCUCAUUCAAACACAUUUCAUCACCCCAAAGAAACCCUGUCCAUCGGCCACCACUCCUCAUCCCCAGACGCCCCCACCCCAGCCCUGGGAGACCACGGCUGUCUCUAUGGACGGUUCACAGAGAGGGGCCCCUACAGUACCUGGCCCUUGUGACUGGCCCCGCUCACGUGGCAUAAUGUCUUCAGGGGUCGCCCGCAGUUCCUCUCCAUGGCUGAGCCCUAUUCCAUUGUAUGGAGAUAGCGCAGUUUUUAAAUCCAUUUCUGUUGAUGGUCAUUGGGGCUGCGUCCACGCGGGGGCUGUUGUGAAUAAAUGCUGCUCUGAGCAUGUGUGUGCACAUCCGUUCUCAAUUCUCUCGGGCGUGUAGGUGUGGGACAGUGAGGUGUCUGACACCUCUAUGUUUAACCCUGUGAGGCCCUGACAGCCUGUCUCCCCAGGGCUUGGGUUCCUCCCCAUCCUCUCCAGCACUUGCCCCGUCUGCCUGUGAUUCUAGCCACCCUCGUGGGUGUGAAGCGGUACCUCACUGUGGUUUUGAUUUGCAUCUCCCUGAUGGCUAGUGAUCUUGACCAUCUUUGCUCGUUACUUGCUGGCCAUUCGUCUUUCUCUUUUGGAGACAUGUCUAAUCAAAUCCUCUGUCCAUUUAAAAAAAAAAUUAUAUAUGUAUAUUUUUUAUUGAUUUUAGAGAGAGGAAGGGAGAGGGAGAGAAACAUCAAUGAUGAGAGAGAAUCAUCGAUCAGCUGCUUCCUGUGUGGGCUCUACUGGGGAUUGAGCCCGCAACCUGGGCUCCUGCCCUGACCGGGAAUCAAACCGUGUGACCUCCUGGAUCAUAGGCCAACCCGCAACCACUGAGCCACACUGGCCGGGUCAUUUCUGUUUGUUUGUUUGUUAAAUAUAAUCCCCCCCCCUAAGAGCUUUUGGGGGUGGUCCUUCCGGGCCUCACGAGAAGGACUCCUGGCCACCUCUCUGCGAAGGCCCAGCCCACACAGCCGUGGACGUUCACACGCAGCUUGGGAAGCACGCAGGCGGCGAAGACACUCGCUUUGCCAAUGUCCCUAACGGCUGCGGCCUCGUCUGUGUUUCAGAGGACGAGGUUCCUAAUGGCCUUGUCCUCGGGCUCACAGCUGGCGCAGCUGGUGCUGCUAACGGGCCUUCUCCGGCACGACCAUUGCUCCUUCCUCUCCUGGUCGCCUUGGAAGCGAGGGCCCAAGAGAGAGGCCCCUUGGCCCACUUUUGACCUGGGUUGCUUGUCUCUUGAUAAGUUGUGCCGCUGUCAUCCACAGAGUGGACACGGAGGCUCAGAAAGGCGUGGUGACUGGAUCGAGAACACGGCGCAGCCCGGCCACGGGGCUCAGGGGUUGAGCGUCGACCUGUGAACCGGGAGGUCACGGUCAGGGCACAUGCCCGGGUUGUGGGCUCGAUCCCCAGGGUGGGGCGUGCAGGAGGCAGCCGAUCCAUGAUCCUCUCAUCAUGGAUGUUUCUCUCUCUCCCUCUCCUUUCCUCUCCGAAAUCAAUAAACACAUUUUUAAAAAGAACACUGGGCUCCCAGCGGCUUGGUCUCCGACUCCCACCCCGCUGGUCA
RNA transcript from Myotis daubentonii (Daubenton's bat), 3042 nucleotides. It is a transcript of the gene named cytosolic arginine sensor for mTORC1 subunit 1, with no coding region annotated. NCBI's taxonomy places the organism in Eukaryota, Metazoa, Chordata, Mammalia, Chiroptera, Vespertilionidae. The record is from RefSeq and is a predicted model, not a curated record.